Molecule: long non-coding RNA, 1266 nt
Filed under: Felis catus (domestic cat)
Lineage: Eukaryota; Metazoa; Chordata; Mammalia; Carnivora; Felidae
Description: lncRNA (ENSFCAG00000051404.1)
Source: RNAcentral
AUGGAGGGCGCAGUCGCCAGGGCGGGGCGGGGUCUGGGGCCCCGGGAAUUGGGGGCGGGCUCUCGGGCCGGAGAGGGCGCUCCGCCUCGGCAGCUCCGGACUCGUGGGGGGGGGGGGGUGCGGGUAGGGAGCCCUGAGGCCCGUGCGCUUCGGCCCCCCGGGGCUCCUCGUGACGCGGCACCCCGACGGGAGUCCAGCCGGCUAGGCGGGAGCUCCGCCCUCGGCCCCGCCCAGCCCCGAGCCCCAAAUUGCGGUGGGGUCCUGGGGAGGUGGGGUAAGGCCCGGCGUGCAGGGAGAAGUUGGGAGCGUGGCACUGGCAGGCGGGGAGCGAAGCGCCUAGGCGCGGGAAGGCCGGGAACAGCCACAGGUCGCGAAGCCAUGGGGUGGGCAGCCCGAGCGCCGACUGGGGGCGGCCCCGCGCGGCCCGGCCCCGCCCCUCCCGGUCGGUGCCCGCCCCCCUGCGCGCCCCGCCCCCUCCUUCCCCGCAGCCCCCACCCCCCGCCCCGGCUCCUCAACACAAACUUUCCGUCCCGCUCGCUCCCUCCUCCGCGCCCGGCGCCUCCCGCUCCGGCCCGGCUCAUUCCGCACAUUCCGGCCAGCCCCCUCCCCAAGACCCCCCUUCCCCGGCCCCCCUCUCAGCUUUUUCGGGCCCGGCGGAGCGGCCCGGCCGGAGCGCCCCCCCCGAGCUCGGACCAGGUAAGCCGGGAGGACGCCGGGAAGAGGCCGUACUGGGAGAGGUGGUUUGGUUGGCUGGUUCUGGAUUGGGGGGGCACUCGCGGGGGGCUAGAUCCCCGAGCUAUUGUCCAGCUUGAGCCUGAGCCCCGGAUCUGGGUGCCGGGAAGUUUAGAGGGAAGGGGGGGAAAAGCUCUCCGGGAAGCCCCGCCCACCCCUCCCACCCCUACCCCCCUCCCCCCGCGACCCGGACGAGUUGGUUGGGGGAGGUCGGGGAACCGGGAGAUUGUCUCCGGUGCCUUCGUCUGCCCCACCGUCCGAGUAUGGGGUGCCGAGGCAGGGGUCUUGGGGGCGCACGGUUCGGGGGCCCUGCCACUGGGGAGCUCGUACCCAGGACUCCCAGUCCCGGGCCCCGCCGCCCUUUGGACUCCCGGCUCGCGCUCUCUCCGAGCCCGCCCGGCUCCAGCUCCACGCAGGCCUCGGGCCCGGCCUCCCGGCGUCCAGGCCGGCUCCUGCGCGCGGUGCCUGUGGCUGCGCUGGAUUGUGGAGGGUGACUGGGAGCAGAGCUGCGCGCCCUGGGCGUGUGCCCCCUGA